CAGGGAUUGCCUCAGUAACGGCGAGUGAAGCGGCAACAGCUCAAAUUUUAAAGCUGGCGUCCUCGACGUCCGCGUUGUAAUUUGGAGAGGCAUCUUCGGUUUGGGCGCCAGCCUAUGUUCCUUGGAACAGGACGUCACAGAGGGUGAGAAUCCCGUGCUUGGCUGGCUGUCCCUCUCCAUGUGAAGUGUCUUCGACGAGUCGAGUUGUUUGGGAAUGCAGCUCAAAAUGGGUGGUAAAUUUCAUCUAAAGCUAAAUAUUGGCGGGAGACCGAUAGCGCACAAGUAGAGUGAUCGAAAGAUGAAAAGCACUUUGAAAAUAGAGUUAAAAAGUACGUGAAAUUGUUGAAAGGGAAGCGCUUGAGACCAGACUCGGCCGGAGACGAUCAGCGGUCCUUUUGGGCCGUGCACUCGUCCUCGGUCGGGCCAGCAUCGGUUGAGACGGCGGGAUAAAGGUCCGGGGAAUGUGGCUCCUUUCGGGGAGUGUUAUAGCCCCGGGCGCAAUGCCGCCAGCCUCGACCGAGGACCGCGCUUUUUUGCUAGGAUGCUGGCGUAAUGGUCUUCAGCGACCCGUCUUGAAACACGGACCAAGGAGUCUAACAUCUAUGCGAGUGUUUGGGUGUCAAACCCUUGCGCGUAAUGAAAGUGAACGUGGGUGGGAACCCCUCGUCAGGGGGGCGCACCAUCGACCGAUCCUGAUGUCUUCGGAUGGAUUUGAGUAGGAGCAUAGCUGUUGGGACCCGAAAGAUGGUGAACUAUGCCUGAAUAGGGUGAAGCCAGAGGAAACUCUGGUGGAGGCUCGCAGCGGUUCUGACGUGCAAAUCGAUCGUCAAAUUUGGGUAUAGGGGCGAAAGACUAAUCGAACC
This 863-nucleotide ribosomal RNA is filed under the name Maublancomyces korfii. RNAcentral describes it as "Gyromitra korfii partial large subunit ribosomal RNA". It matches the Rfam family "Eukaryotic large subunit ribosomal RNA", at positions 69 to 941 of the family's 3401-position model. Lineage: Eukaryota; Fungi; Ascomycota; Pezizomycetes; Pezizales; Discinaceae. The record is from RNAcentral.